UAAGAAAGUAACGAAGAGCAAAUGGUGGAUGCCUUGGCUCUCAGAGGCGAUGAAGGACGUGAUAAGCUGCGAUAAGCUUCGGUUAGGUGCAAAUAACCUUUGAGCCGGAGAUUUCCCAAUGGGGCAACCCAUCCCGAAGCAGUUCGGGAUAUCCCUGUCGUUGCAGGCAGGGAGGCGAACCCGGUGAACUGAAACAUCUAAGUAGCCGGAGGAGAAGAAAACAAUAGUGAUUCCGCAAGUAGUGGCGAGCGAACGCGGAGUAGCCCAAACCGUCGAUGUUACGGCAUUGGCGGGGUUAUAGGACCGACAAAAGACUGUUAGACCUUUUAGUGGAAUUACCUGGAAAGGUAAGCCAUAGCGGGUGACAGCCCUUUACACGAAAGGGGGUUUAACGGCGGGUUGGUAUCCUGAGUAGCGCGGGACCGGAGAAAUCCUGUGUGAAUUUGCCGGCACCAUCCGGUAAGGCUAAAUACUCCUGAGAGACCGAUAGUGAACCAGUACCGUGAGGGAAAGGUGAAAAGUACCCCAAACAGGGGAGUGAAACAGAUCCUGAAACCAUUUGCUUACAAGCGGUCGGAGUCCCGCAGGUGCGGGAUGACGGCGUGCCUUUUGCAUAAUGAGCCUACGAGUUACCCAUGUGUGGCCAGGUUAACCCCGCAGGUACGGGGGUGAGCCGCAGCGAAAGCGAGUCUUAACAGGGCGCCGGAGUCACAUGGGGUAGACGCGAAACCAAGUGAUCUACCCAUGGCCAGGUUGAAGUUGUGGUAACACACAAUGGAGGACCGAACCAGUAAGCGUUGAAAAGCUUUUGGAUGAGCUGUGGGUAGGGGUGAAAGGCUAAUCAAACUUGGAGAUAUCUCGUACUCCCCGAAAUGCCUUUAGGGGCAGCCUCGGUUAAUAGUGUUGUGGAGGUAGAGCUACUGAUAGGACUAGGGGGCUUCACCGCCUACCAAAUUCUGACAAACUCCGAAUGCCACGACAUGUUUACCGGGAGUGAGGGCAAGGGUGCUAAGGUCCUUGUCCGAGAGGGAAAGAACCCGGAUCAUCCGCUAAGGUCCCCAAAUAUAUGCUAAGUUGAAAAAACGCGGUUGGAUUGCUAAGACAGCCAGGAUGUUGGCUUGGAAGCAGCCAUUCAUUUAAAGAGUGCGUAACAGCUCACUGGUCGAGCGAUCCGGCAUGGAUAAUAAACGGGCAUAAGCAUAUUACCGAAGCGGUGGACUUGUAUUCUAGUUCUAGGAUACAAUUGGUAGGGGAGCAUUCCAUGAUGCGUUGAAGAUGUGCCGUGAGGCAUGUUGGAGUUCAUGGAAGCGCAAAUGUAGGCAUAAGUAACGAUAAUGCGGGCGAGAAACCCGCACACCGAAAAGCCAAGGUUUCCUGAUCAACGCUAAUCGGAUCAGGGUUAGUCGGGUCCUAAGGCGAUGCCGCGAGGCUAAGUCGAUGGAUAACUGGUUAAUAUUCCAGUACUGGCAUAUACAAGAGAAGUGGUGACGGAGAAGUGACAGGUCUGCGCACUGACGGAAUAGUGCGUUGAAGGGUGUAGAUAUACCUGGUGCAGGCAAAUCCGCACCGGGUGUCGAACCUGAUAGUACCGUGCGGCUUCACGCCAAACGGAUAAUGGCCGUAAUCCUGCUUCCAAGAAAAGCUGCUAAUCGCUAUAACGUAUAUGCUACCCGUACCGUAAACCGACACAGGUGGCUGGGGAGAGAAUCCUAAGGUGCUCGAGUGAUACAUGGCUAAGGAACUAGGCAAAAUAGUGCUGUAACUUCGGGAGAAAGCACUCCCGCAUUGCGCGGGACGCAGAGAAAUGGCCCAGGCGACUGUUUAACAAAAACACAUGGCUUUGCAAAUUCGAAAGAAGAAGUAUAAGGCCUGACACCUGCCCGGUGCCGGAAGGUUAAGAGGAGGGGUUAGUCACCUUUAGGUGGCGAAGCUCUGAAUUGAAGCCCCGGUAAACGGCGGCCGUAACUAUAACGGUCCUAAGGUAGCGAAAUUCCUUGUCGGGUAAGUUCCGACCUGCACGAAUGGUGUAACGAUCUGGGUACUGUCUCGGCCAUGCGCUCGGUGAAAUUGAAGUCGCGGUGAAGAUGCCGCGUACCCGCAACGGGACGGAAAGACCCCGUGAACCUUCACUACAGCUUAACAUUGACUUUGGAUAAACGAUGUGUAGGAUAGGUGGGAGACUGCGAAGUGGUUGCGCCAGCAAUCAUGGAGUCAACGUUGAAAUACCACCCUUUGUUUAUUUGGAGCCUAAUGCCGUACGUACGGCAGACAUUGUUUGGCGGGUAGUUUGACUGGGGUGGUCGCCUCCAAAAGAGUAACGGAGGCUUUCAAAGGUACCCUCAGCACGGUUGGUAACCGUGCGUUGAGUGCAAUGACACAAGGGUGCUUGACUGGGAGACUGACAAGUCGAUCAGGUAGGAAACUAGGACAUAGUGAUCCGGUGGUUCCGUAUGGAAGGGCCAUCGCUCAAAGGAUAAAAGGUACUCCGGGGAUAACAGGCUGAUCACUCCCAAGAGCUCACAUCGACGGAGUGGUUUGGCACCUCGAUGUCGGCUCGUCACAUCCUGGGGCUGGAGAAGGUCCCAAGGGUUGGGCUGUUCGCCCAUUAAAGUGGCACGCGAGCUGGGUUCAGAACGUCGCGAGACAGUUCGGUCCCUAUCUGUUGUGGGCGUAGGAAGUUUGAGGGGCGCUGACACUAGUACGAGAGGACCGUGUCGGAUAAACCUCUGGUGUACCAGUUGUAACGCCAGUUGCACCGCUGGGUAGCUAAGUUUGGAUGAGAUAAGUGCUGAAAGCAUCUAAGCACGAAACUCGCCCCAAGAUGAGACUUCCGUUAAUAAGGGUCGUUAAAGACGAUGACGUAGAUAGGCUGCAGGUGUAAAGGUGGUAACAUCAAAGCCGAGCAGUACUAAUCACCCGAACGCUUUCUUAAU
RNAcentral lists this ribosomal RNA (2933 nucleotides) under Bacteroidales bacterium. RNAcentral describes it as "23S ribosomal RNA". It matches the Rfam family "Bacterial large subunit ribosomal RNA". Lineage: Bacteria; Pseudomonadati; Bacteroidota; Bacteroidia; Bacteroidales. The record is from RNAcentral.